Long non-coding RNA from Papaver somniferum (opium poppy), 1566 nucleotides. RefSeq lists it as uncharacterized. The record is from RefSeq and is a predicted model, not a curated record. The transcript has 2 exons. NCBI's taxonomy places the organism in Eukaryota, Viridiplantae, Streptophyta, Magnoliopsida, Ranunculales, Papaveraceae.
AGCGUUGUUUACUCGGGAAACCGAAAUAUCUUCCUCUCCUUCAAUCUCAUCACUGUUGUAAAUGAGUCGAGUACGUUUCCCUUCAAAUUCAGGAAAAUCUUAGUCAAACAUUCACACAAAUCAAAUUGUAAUGUAAAAUAAAAACCUGUUUAGGGUUCUUAAAUUAAUUUGAUUAUUGAUUCUGAUUUGAAAUUAUUGUGAUUAGAAUCAUUAAACCUUUCCACUGAUUUUAACACCUUUUGAUUCUUGACUGGAUUGCAUUUAAUCUCGAUUAUGGAGCAGUGAGGAAUUGCUUGUAAAAAUUACGAAGAAAUGAUCCUCUCCAAAUCUUGUCGUGGCUAUAGAUGUGUUCCAGCAAUUAGUGAGUUCAGAUGAGAGAUAUUUUCGAUGAUUAAAACAAAGCUAAAACAUGCAAAUGAUUCAAGCUGAGGUCCACCGAGAAACCAAUGAAAGGAGAUGUAAUGUUGUUUUCCUUAUUCUGCACUAAUCAAUUGAGGAGAUUAAAUGUGUUUUCGAAGUUCUGGCAGUAUUGGGGAGUUGGGUUUUGACUAGAUUUGAAAUUGACACAGUGUGAGUGUGAUAGAAGAAGAAAAGUAGAAGAUGCGGUCGAAGUUUUCCAAUUUGGAUAGGCUGAGUUGCCAGGCUCCACAAGGCAUUCAGAUCUCUCAACUCCUAGUAUGAUGUAUCGAUGCUGUUCUGAGUAUACUUUUGCUAUAGAACUUCGAUCUAGUUGGUUGUUGGAGACAGUAACUAUGUGGAAGACAAUUAUCAUGGUUCUGAUAUUCCUAUCAGUAUGCCCUGUAGAUAAGACCAAAUUAGCUGGAUUAUUUUGAUUCAUGUGCUGGGUUUUUAGUGUUAUAGUUCAACACUGAAAGUGGCACUUGUUGAUCUGCUGGUGAAUCAGGCUGGUAGUGUUUGCUCGUUUGUUUUUAAAAUCGUAGCUCGUAUCUACCUUUUGGCAAGUGCUACCAAAUGACUGCGGCUCUCUUCAUAUUCUGCUUAUAGCUAUAGCCAUGAAGAUUGAAUUGGUGCUCUCUAAUUCAUAUCCUAUUAGUACUCAGAAUUACAAAAUUUAGUAAGCUAGCUUAUCUGUGGUACUUCUGCAGGAAUCUACAUUAAGCUGUAUUUCAAAUUCUUCAAAUUGUUGUUACCAUCUGUUUUAUUUACCGUUCCUUUCUAUUCUAGGUUUACAUUGUCCAGGCAGCUAAUGUUUCAUAUCCUGAGGAGUCAGUUGGUGUUUCAAAUGGUGAAGAAUCCUCAUAGAUUAGAUCUUCUUGAAUCAGGUGGUACGAUGUAGCAGAACCGUAGCUUGGAAUUCUAUCUACAGGGCAACGGCGGACGCAGUAGUUAUAUGGAAGGUUUCCGGCAACAGCAGAUGAAGUUAGGGAAAGUUUUUUGGUUGUUGUUGUUGCUAGUGCCAUGCACAGCUAGCAUUUUGUCAAUAAUAUAUCUUACUCUUACAAUUCAAUGGGGUCAUUCUGUUAAUUCAAAACUCAAACCAAACUUUAGAUCUCGCUAACAAUGUCUUGAUCCGAAUGCAAAAGAAUUUGUUGCAUUUUUCAUGAA